CCCAACUCGCGAAGAAGAAGAAGACGACCAAAAAUUAAUAUUUUAUUAAUAAAAAUUACAAAAAUUAUUAUUUCAAUUUUUUUGAUAAAAAAUUUGGUUUAUUUGCAGGUGAGGAUUUAUUUUUUUUAAAAAAAAAAAGUGAAUAAAUCAACAUUCAGUUAACUUAAUCAUCAGGCGGGCAGUAGACAAUUAAAGAAGGGAAAAUGUACUCAUAAUGCUUUCCUAACACUACCUCAAUGAUGAAAAUUAAGACAAAACAAUGAAAUUUAAACCACAACUAUUGAAUAACAUUAAUUUUAGAGUAAAAAAGAAGCAACAAUUGUGUACCUGG
RNAcentral lists this unclassified non-coding RNA (331 nucleotides) under Hevea brasiliensis (rubber tree). Lineage: Eukaryota; Viridiplantae; Streptophyta; Magnoliopsida; Malpighiales; Euphorbiaceae. The record is from RNAcentral.